Molecule: ribosomal RNA, 800 nt
Filed under: Rhodococcus sp. ZY-2006b
Lineage: Bacteria; Bacillati; Actinomycetota; Actinomycetes; Mycobacteriales; Nocardiaceae
Description: bacterial SSU rRNA
Rfam family: Bacterial small subunit ribosomal RNA
Source: RNAcentral
GAGCGGUAAGGCCUUUCGGGGUACACGAGCGGCGAACGGGUGAGUAACACGUGGGUGAUCUGCCCUGCACUUCGGGAUAAGCCUGGGAAACUGGGUCUAAUACCGGAUAUGACCUCCUAUCGCAUGGUGGGUGGUGGAAAGAUUUAUCGGUGCAGGAUGGGCCCGCGGCCUAUCAGCUUGUUGGUGGGGUAAUGGCCUACCAAGGCGACGACGGGUAGCCGACCUGAGAGGGUGACCGGCCACACUGGGACUGAGACACGGCCCAGACUCCUACGGGAGGCAGCAGUGGGGAAUAUUGCACAAUGGGCGAAAGCCUGAUGCAGCGACGCCGCGUGAGGGAUGACGGCCUUCGGGUUGUAAACCUCUUUCAGCAGGGACGAAGCGCAAGUGACGGUACCUGCAGAAGAAGCACCGGCUAACUACGUGCCAGCAGCCGCGGUAAUACGUAGGGUGCAAGCGUUGUCCGGAAUUACUGGGCGUAAAGAGUUCGUAGGCGGUUUGUCGCGUCGUUUGUGAAAACCAGCAGCUCAACUGCUGGCUUGCAGGCGAUACGGGCAGACUUGAGUACUGCAGGGGAGACUGGAAUUCCUGGUGUAGCGGUGAAAUGCGCAGAUAUCAGGAGGAACACCGGUGGCGAAGGCGGGUCUCUGGGCAGUAACUGACGCUGAGGAACGAAAGCGUGGGUAGCGAACAGGAUUAGAUACCCUGGUAGUCCACGCCGUAAACGGUGGGCGCUAGGUGUGGGUUCCUUCCACGGAAUCCGUGCCGUAGCUAACGCAUUAAGCGCCCCGCCUGGGGAG